This 496-nucleotide ribosomal RNA is filed under the name uncultured bacterium. RNAcentral describes it as "bacterial SSU rRNA". It matches the Rfam family "Bacterial small subunit ribosomal RNA", at positions 28 to 518 of the family's 1533-position model. The record is from RNAcentral.
GAUGUACGCUGGCGGCGUGCUUAACACAUGCAAGUCGAACGGAGAUAUCUUUGACAGAGACUUCGGUCAAAGUCGUUGGUAUCUUAGUGGCGGACGGGUGAGUAACGCGUGAGUAACCUGCCUUAUACUGGGGGAUAACAGUCAGAAAUGACUGCUAAUACCGCAUAAGCGCACAGUGCCGCAUGGCACAGUGUGAAAAACUCCGGUGGUAUAGGAUGGACCCGCGUUGGAUUAGCUAGUUGGCAGGGUAGCGGCCUACCAAGGCGACGAUCCAUAGCCGGCCUGAGAGGGUGAACGGCCACAUUGGGACUGAGACACGGCCCAGACUCCUACGGGAGGCAGCAGUGGGGAAUAUUGCACAAUGGGGAAACCCUGAUGCAGCGACGCCGCGUGAAAGGAAGAAGUAUCUCGGUAUGUAAACUUACUAUCAGCAGGGAAGAAAAUAGACGGUACCUGACUAAAGAAAGACCCCGGCUAACUACGUGCCAGCAGCCGC